Molecule: non-coding RNA, 22 nt
Filed under: Rattus norvegicus (Norway rat)
Lineage: Eukaryota; Metazoa; Chordata; Mammalia; Rodentia; Muridae
Source: RNAcentral
CGGCAAGGAACACGGGAUGCUC